UAAUAAGUGUUUUACGGCACUUUUUUAAAUCCAUAUCCACCUUGUGUGCAAUGUCAGUCGGUUUUCUUUUUCGUCAAGAAAAAAAAGGAUCGACCAAACAUCAACUUAUUCUAAUUGAACUUUUGUCUGAAAACUAUUAUGAAUAAACUAAUUCAAAAUA
This 160-nucleotide unclassified non-coding RNA is filed under the name soil metagenome. RNAcentral describes it as "partial internal transcribed spacer 1". The record is from RNAcentral.